GACGAACGCUGGCGGCGCGCCUAACACAUGCAAGUCGAACGAGCGAGAGAGAGCUUGCUUUCUCGAGCGAGUGGCGAACGGGUGAGUAACGCGUGAGUAACCUGCCUCAAAGAGGGGGACAACAGUUGGAAACGACUGCUAAUACCGCAUAAGCCCACGGGCCGGCAUCGACCAGAGGGAAAAGGAGCAAUCCGCUUUGAGAUGGCCUCGCGUCCGAUUAGCUAGUUGGUGAGGUAACGGCCCACCAAGGCAACGAUCGGUAGCCGGACUGAGAGGUUGAACGGCCACAUUGGGACUGAGACACGGCCCAGACUCCUACGGGAGGCAGCAGUGGGGAAUAUUGCACAAUGGGGGAAACCCUGAUGCAGCGACGCCGGGUGGAGGAAGAAGGUCUUCGGAUUGUAAACUCCUGUUGUUGGGGAAGAUAAUGACGGUACCCAACAAGGAAGUGACGGCUAACUACGUG
Molecule: ribosomal RNA, 466 nt
Filed under: uncultured bacterium
Lineage: Bacteria
Description: partial 16S ribosomal RNA
Rfam family: Bacterial small subunit ribosomal RNA
Source: RNAcentral